RNAcentral lists this small RNA (83 nucleotides) under Kaistella chaponensis. Its description in RNAcentral is "Chryseobacterium chaponense Flavo-1 RNA". It matches the Rfam family "Flavo-1 RNA". Lineage: Bacteria; Pseudomonadati; Bacteroidota; Flavobacteriia; Flavobacteriales; Weeksellaceae. The record is from RNAcentral.
UUAUAGCCCCGAUUGAAGGGAAAAUCCUUUUUCUUUUUUUUCUAAAAAAAAAGAAAAAGAUUGGAAUGAAAGCGGGACCGGUU